GAUGAACGCUGGCGGCGUGCCUAACACAUGCAAGUCGAACGAAGCACCUUACCUGAUUCUUCGGAUGAAAGUUUGGUGACUGAGUGGCGGACGGGUGAGUAACGCGUGGGUAACCUGCCCUGUACAGGGGGAUAACAGCUGGAAACGGCUGCUAAUACCGCAUAAGCGCACGAGGAGACAUCUCCUUGUGUGAAAAACUCCGGUGGUACAGGAUGGGCCCGCGUCUGAUUAGCUGGUUGGCAGGGUAACGGCCUACCAAGGCAACGAUCAGUAGCCGGUCUGAGAGGAUGAACGGCCACAUUGGAACUGAGACACGGUCCAAACUCCUACGGGAGGCAGCAGUGGGGAAUAUUGCACAAUGGGGGAAACCCUGAUGCAGCAACGCCGCGUGAGUGAAGAAGUAUUUCGGUAUGUAAAGCUCUAUCAGCAGGGAAGAUAAUGACGGUACCUGACUAAGAAGCUCCGGCGAAAUACGU
This 476-nucleotide ribosomal RNA is filed under the name uncultured bacterium. RNAcentral describes it as "partial 16S ribosomal RNA". It matches the Rfam family "Bacterial small subunit ribosomal RNA", at positions 28 to 506 of the family's 1533-position model. The record is from RNAcentral.